UAGGGAAUCUUGCGCAAUGGGCGAAAGCCUGACGCAGCAACGCCGCGUGCGGGAUGAAGGCCUUCGGGUUGUAAACCGCUUUCAGUGGGGACGAAAACAGACGGUACCCACAGAAGAAGCCCCGGCCAACUACGUGCCAGCAGCCGCGGUAACACGUAGGGGGCAAGCGUUGUCCGGAUUUAUUGGGCGUAAAGAGCUCGUAGGCGGCUCAGUAAGUCAGGUGUGAAAACUCCAGGCUCAACCUGGAGACGCCACCUGAUACUGCUGUGGCUAGAGUCCGGUAGGGGAGCAUGGAAUUCCUGGUGUAGCGGUGAAAUGCGCAGAUAUCAGGAGGAACACCAGUGGCGAAGGCGGUGCUCUGGGCCGGUACUGACGCUGAGGAGCGAAAGCGUGGGGAGCAAACAGGAUUAGAUACCCCAGUAGUCCCUGAGCGGGCUGGCAAGGCGCAU
Molecule: ribosomal RNA, 449 nt
Filed under: uncultured bacterium
Lineage: Bacteria
Description: bacterial SSU rRNA
Rfam family: Bacterial small subunit ribosomal RNA
Source: RNAcentral